This 856-nucleotide ribosomal RNA is filed under the name uncultured bacterium. RNAcentral describes it as "bacterial SSU rRNA". It matches the Rfam family "Bacterial small subunit ribosomal RNA", at positions 57 to 921 of the family's 1533-position model. The record is from RNAcentral.
GCAGUCGAGGGGUAUGGUUCUUCGGAACAGAGACCGGCGCACGGGUGCGUAACGCGUAUGCAAUCUACCUUUUGCAGAGGGAUAGCCCAGAGAAAUUCGGAUUAAUACCUCAUAGUAUAGUGAGCUGGCAUCAGCCCGCUAUUAAAGUCACAACGGCAAAAGAUGAGCAUGCGUCCCAUUAGCUUGUUGGUAAGGUAACGGCUUACCAAGGCUACGAUGGGUAGGGGUCCUGAGAGGGAGAUCCCCCACACUGGUACUGAGACACGGACCAGACUCCUACGGGAGGCAGCAGUGAGGAAUAUUGGACAAUGGGCGCAAGCCUGAUCCAGCCAUGCCGCGUGCAGGAUGACGGUCCUAUGGAUUGUAAACUGCUUUUGUACAGGAAGAAACACUGGUUCGUGAACCAGCUUGACGGUACUGUAAGAAUAAGGAUCGGCUAACUCCGUGCCAGCAGCCGCGGUAAUACGGAGGAUCCAAGCGUUAUCCGGAAUCAUUGGGUUUAAAGGGUCCGUAGGCGGUCUGGUAAGUCAGUGGUGAAAGCCCAUCGCUCAACGGUGGAACGGCCAUUGAUACUGCCAGACUUGAAUUAUCAGGAAGUAACUAGAAUAUGUAGUGUAGCGGUGAAAUGCUUAGAGAUUACAUGGAAUACCAAUUGCGAAGGCAGGUUACUACUGAUGGAUUGACGCUGAUGGACGAAAGCGUGGGUAGCGAACAGGAUUAGAUACCCUGGUAGUCCACGCCGUAAACGAUGGAUACUAGCUGUUGGGGGCAACUUCAGUGGCUAAGCGAAAGUGAUAAGUAUCCCACCUGGGGAGUACGUUCGCAAGAAUGAAACUCAAAGGAAUUGACGGGGGCC